CAGUGAACCAUCACUGGAGACUUUGGAAGGGCAGGGCCUUUUCCUUGUCACUGUGAGUCCCCAGCUCCAGCAAGGGGACAGUAUGGAAGAGGCACUGGGUAAGGAAGAAUGUUCCAAUUUUCAGCAUGAAGAAACUGAGGAUCAGGGAGACUAAGCAACAGGGUUAAGGGCACACAACAAGCCAGAGUCAGAGCUGGGUUUUGAAUCAGGUCUGUUUAUGCCAUAUCCACGGGAAGGCAGGGAGUGGACGAGAAGGAAGUGACAUUUAUGGGCCAUUUUGCCGCUGCCAGGCCUGUGCUGGGCACCGUCAUUAGUGUCUCACUUUUAAUUAUAGAACGUUAAUCGGAA
RNAcentral lists this long non-coding RNA (348 nucleotides) under Homo sapiens (human). RNAcentral describes it as "HSALNT0363815". The record is from RNAcentral. Lineage: Eukaryota; Metazoa; Chordata; Mammalia; Primates; Hominidae.